AUGAGUUCAAAAAGCACUUUGACAGGAUUAUGCAGACUCCGCAGAGGAGGAGAAGAGACUAAAGAUUUUCAAAGACAACCUCGUCAAGAUCCAAAAUUGAAUUCAAAUCCCGAGGACACUGCCACCUACGGCCUCAACGACUUUGCUGAUAAAACCCCGGAGGAAAUGCGAAUGCGAUGUGGAUUAAGGAGACCAAACCAAUGACCAGGUGCUGAACACCGAAUUCAAAAAUCAUCUUAUCGUUUUAAAACUAACAAUUGUAUUCUAAGCAGUCAUUUAACUUUUCAAACUAUUGAAAUGUUCUUACAGUAUCAUCGGGAAUUCAGAAUUUUGUUUUAACACUUUAAGAUUCAAUUUCUUCUGAGGGAAAGGAGGGACGAAUACACCUUGUGAUUUUGGAAAAUAACGGUAGCUCCCAGAGAGAGAGCCUGCCUUUACCUGAGGCAUCAAUCAAAAGUUUUAAUAUUUUUACAAAAUAGCUUCUUGUACCUAUUAUUCUGUGCUGUAAAAGUGAAUUUCCCAAACUGAAUUUUGCAGCAGUCAAUGUUUACAAAGUCUUUGAACAGACAGACUAAAAUAAAGUAUAGCAGCAAAUAUAUGUAUAGCUUCAUAAAAUUAUACACCAUAACCGUCCACAAUUUGUAUCAAAUAAAAUAAUGUUACAAUUUUAAUAAAAUUUAUUUUGAUAUUCACUCCUCCUUUGGCAACUUUUCACAACCGAGAACUACUAUUUUUACUCAUCCACGGACGCACCGACUUGCAUGAGAAUACAAAUAGCACGUAUGCUGUCUGUGAAAUGAGCCUGAAAUAGAUGUAUUUCUGCCAAACAGAACUAUGUGCAUCAUAACGUGAGACCUGUUAUGGAUAUAUUCUUAUGGGUAUCAGGGCUCAUAUCUUAAUGCACAUAGUUCCGUUUGGCAGAAAUACGUCCAAAUGGUAGUUCCCUAUCGCGAAUUGUCUUCGUUUUCCAGCUCCACUUGUUCCCACUCGCAUGAAUCGAGUAAUGUAAAUGUAACUGAACAGAUUUGAAAAUGGAAACAUUUACUAACAAUAAGUAUAUAAUUAUAGCUUGAUCCCUCUUGUUGCAUCCAUGCAAUGAACAGAAAAAAUUAAUGCAUCACUGAGUUUCCGUAGGUAUGUGCGAAUGUAUAACCUUAUCAACACUUAUUUCAUGGGACGCAACAUUUUUUAUCCCUCGCUCUCUCACUGUUAUACUAGUUUCAUAAGUUUAUCGUUUAUUAAUGAAAACUACUGAGUGGACUAAGCACGAUAUCCUCGAUUUCUAAAUUGAAUAUCUAUUGAAAAAAUGAUGACAAAAUCAUCUGAUCUGCUGAAAUAAAUACAUGCGAGAAUGAAAAUGCCGCCCUGUGAUGUCACAUAAGGCGGUACCCUGCCUAUAUUUGCUCACUUUUAAAUCUAUUUUUCUCCGAUUCACCGGAUGCACCAGGAAAAAUUGCUCAGAAGCUCAUGAAGCUCUUUGAUAUGAAUUUUAUAAUUUUACACUGUUAUGCGUUUUU
RNAcentral lists this long non-coding RNA (1517 nucleotides) under Bemisia tabaci. RNAcentral's name for it is "lncRNA ENSSWEETPG006667". Lineage: Eukaryota; Metazoa; Arthropoda; Insecta; Hemiptera; Aleyrodidae. The record is from RNAcentral.